RNAcentral lists this transfer RNA (71 nucleotides) under Hofstenia miamia. RNAcentral's name for it is "tRNA-Thr for anticodon AGU". It matches the Rfam family "tRNA". From Rfam's summary of the family: Transfer RNA (tRNA) molecules are approximately 80 nucleotides in length. The record is from RNAcentral. Lineage: Eukaryota; Metazoa; Xenacoelomorpha; Acoela; Hofsteniidae.
GCAGUCGUGGCUUAGUGGUAAAGCGCCUGUCUAGUAAACAAGAGAUCAGUGGUUCGAUCCCGCCAGGUGCC